UGCCUGUGCCUUGGUCCUGACCCAUGGCCGAGGUCUCACAGGAACUGCCCAGAGGAACAGAAGAUGAAAAGGCGGAGCUCUGGAGCUGACGGGCGUGUCCGUGCGAUGUUCUUCUGACAUUCAGUCCUGUCUGUCCCACGGAUGUGACGGCUCUCUCCAUACUGUCACUGAUCCGCAGACAGGCAGAGAAACGCUGAGCAGACAGAUAUUGUCUGUGGAGACGAGUUUGCUUUCCAGACACUACACGCUCACACACUG
Molecule: non-coding RNA, 258 nt
Organism: Clarias gariepinus (North African catfish)
Lineage: Eukaryota; Metazoa; Chordata; Actinopteri; Siluriformes; Clariidae
Source: RefSeq, a predicted model, not a curated record